GACGAACGCUGGCGGCGUGCCUAAUACAUGCGAGUCGAACGCUUCUUUCCUCCCGAGUGCUUGCACUCAAUUGGAAAGAGGAGUGGCGGACGGGUGAGUAACACGUGGGUAACCUACCCAUCAGAGGGGGAUAACACUUGGAAACAGGUGCUAAUACCGCAUAACAGUUUAUGCCGCAUGGCAUAAGAGUGAAAGGCGCUUUCGGGUGUCGCUGAUGGAUGGACCCGCGGUGCAUUAGCUAGUUGGUGAGGUAACGGCUCACCAAGGCCACGAUGCAUAGCCGACCUGAGAGGGUGAUCGGCCACACUGGGACUGAGACACGGCCCAGACUCCUACGGGAGGCAGCAGUAGGGAAUCUUCGGCAAUGGACGAAAGUCUGACCGAGCAACGCUGCGUGAGUGAAGAAGGUUUUCGGAUCGUAAAACUCUGUUGUUAGAGAAGAACAAGGACGUUAGUAACUGAACGUCCCCUGACGGUAUCUAACCAGAAAGACACGGCUAACUACGUG
This 508-nucleotide ribosomal RNA is filed under the name uncultured bacterium. RNAcentral describes it as "partial 16S ribosomal RNA". It matches the Rfam family "Bacterial small subunit ribosomal RNA", at positions 28 to 507 of the family's 1533-position model. The record is from RNAcentral.